Molecule: ribosomal RNA, 228 nt
Filed under: uncultured bacterium
Lineage: Bacteria
Description: partial 16S ribosomal RNA
Rfam family: Bacterial small subunit ribosomal RNA
Source: RNAcentral
UACGUAGGCGGAAAAUUAAGUCAGUAGUGAAAUCCUGCAGCUUAACUGUAGAACUGUUAUUGAUACUGGUUUUCUUGAAUAUAGUUGAGGUAGGCGGAAUGUGUAAUGUAGCGGUGAAAUGCUAGAUAUUACACAGAACACCGAUUGCGAAGGCAGCUUACUAAGCUAUGAUUGACGCUGAGGUACGAAAGCGUGGGGAGCGAACAGGAUUAGAUACCCUGGUAGUCC